RNAcentral lists this long non-coding RNA (2159 nucleotides) under Mus musculus (house mouse). RNAcentral's name for it is "long non-coding RNA chr1:36473951-36476110". The record is from RNAcentral. Lineage: Eukaryota; Metazoa; Chordata; Mammalia; Rodentia; Muridae.
AGCUCAGACAGGGCACACACCCUUUGCCUUAUUCCCAACAAAGACUUCUUCCCUCUUCUACUCUGAAACCCUCAAAAGUAGCUGUGAAACAAGGUUAUCAAGUGAAACCCUCCUAGGCUGAAGGAGGUGAGGAGGAAGAAAGGGCGACUCUUUAGAGAAGACCCCGAAGCUCGUUCUGUAGGGACCUUGCUUCAUAAUCCUAGACCCAACCAUCCUCCUGUAUGUAGAGCUGUCUCUGGCAAAGGCUCAAGCUGGGAACCACUAGUUGUGGAUAAGUCCGGGGUCAUUUCUGAAACUGGAAGGUGGUGGACAGUCUUGAAAUGGGAUCAGGAGAGAAGAGAUGGCCUUACCAGAAGGUGCACUUGGGUCUGGGUCAAGGCCAAGGAGGCAGGUUGGUGCUCUCCCUUUGAAGUUUUCUACACAGAUCUCAGCAUCAGAGCAGCUGAGGGCAUCUUGAGGACUGUAAACCAGGACAGAGAUAGUCUGGGUGGCAUGGAAGGAGAUUUAGUGGUAUAGACCCAGGAACCUGUUUUGCUCGGAGUCUGAGUAGAAACAUUGGGGACUGUGUUUCGACUCCCAUCUUGCAACUGGGGAACCUGAAAAUUUCUCUGCAGUGGCUUCAUUUGGAACCUGGUGAGGACUCCCAUGACAGCUUCUUUCUUACCUGCCUCUGUGGUCUGAGGUGGUUUUCUGGUGACAGAUAUACCCACCAGUACCUCCCCAUCAGUUUGGUUAGAUCUGGAUCCAACUAGUAUGAAUUGGCUUAACUUGGUGUCCAGCUCUUGAUCAGCAGGGAUGACCUCUGUUCUGUGGGAGAGUGCAGGGUCUGGGUUUUGGACUCUACUCUGUCCUGUGAAGAAGUGUCCUUCACUGAGCUGGAAAAGCAGAGCUGGCAUCUCUUAGGCCAGAGUUGUUCUGGGCUGAGCCCUACCCCCACAGUUUGGUCCACCAGACUUUCCUUGACAGAGGCUUGUGGCCCGAGUCCAGGCCUUAGAGUGUGGAGCCCAAGCAGUUCACGGAAAAGCAGGAGCAGUCUGUCCUGGGGGUCAGGGAGAUGAGAGUGUGACACGGUGGUCACUCCUUAUGGACAGACCCUGGGCCAUGUGUGGUGCCUUCCUGAUCUGGAGGAUUUAGGAGACCAGUUUUAAUUUAGUAAAUUAUCACAGAGGUGUCUUGCUAUUGCCCGUGCCUCCCUCCCGCUGAGUGGGCUCUCCUGGGUCUUUCCAUCUGGGGUCUACCCCUAGUCUGACGCUGCCCAGGCUGUGACGCAUGCCUAGUGUGCAUCUUACAGCUUCUAAGAUUUUCUUUCCAAAGUUAGUGUCUGGAAGGCUCUUCUGUUUUUGUUAUUAACAAGGAACAAGUGCAGCUCACCAGCGUUAUGCCAGACAGGGUGGCAUGUUUCAGGGUCUUUGCUGGAUCUUUCACCCCCAAACUGUAUGAUGGCUCUGGACCUCACUCUGCCGGAAGCCUGACUGGCUGAAGCCUUUCUGUCUGUCGGCCUGAGGUUUGUUUUCUUUUGAGUCAGCUUUCUUACUUUGGAGCUGAGGCUGGACUGGAUUGUAGGUGUGUGCCCUAAGCCUACAUCUGUAAUUUUUUUUUUUUUAAAACCAGGUUCUUUAAUCCCCACUCCCCAGCUUUGCAAGUUCCAUGAGUGUGGGGCCCUGCCUUACUGGUUUUCACCACUGCAGGCCUGGCCAACAGAUGGGGCCUCGGUGAACGUUAGUUGUACAAAUGAAUGGAUGAUUGUCUGCCAGGCUGCUUGAGGCUUCCUGUUCCUUAAACACACCUCGGCACUCCCAGCUCUGGGGCCUUUGCCCUAACUGUUCUCCAAGAGAGUCAGUGUGGCUUCCCUCCCUAAUCUGCCUCCUCAGCAUUGGCUCUAUGAGACCUUGCUGUCACCCCAUUUAAGCCUGUAACCCCAACAUCUCUCUUGACUUUCCCAGCCCUCUCCCUUGUGCUCCGUUUUCCUUCUCAGCUCAGGGGCUCUGUGGUUUGCCAAGCCCUCGUCUCCACCCAGUACAAUAUAAGAUCCAAAGGGCAGGCGCUGUGCUCCGAUGGUUGUGUCGAUAGCUCUGGUAUGGCCCUUGGCACACAGUAAGGCCUCAAUAAAAUAUUACCCAGUGGAUGAAUAAAUGAAUAAAGGACUUGUCAGAUUUGGG